This 253-nucleotide ribosomal RNA is filed under the name uncultured bacterium. RNAcentral's name for it is "partial 16S ribosomal RNA". It matches the Rfam family "Bacterial small subunit ribosomal RNA", at positions 524 to 776 of the family's 1533-position model. The record is from RNAcentral.
UACGUAGGCAGCAAGCGUUGUUCGGAAUUCCUGGGCGUAAAGAGUGUGUAGGCGGUUCUCUAAGUUUGGUGUGAAAUCUCCCGGCUCAACUGGGAGGGUGCGCCGAAAACUGGAAUGCUUGAACGUGGGAGAGGAAAGCGGAAUUCCUGGUGUAGCGGUGAAAUGCGUAGAUAUCAGGAGGAACACCUGCGGUGUAGACGGCUUUCUGGACCAUUGUUGACGCUGAGACACGAAAGCGUGGGUAGCAAACAGG